This 253-nucleotide ribosomal RNA is filed under the name uncultured bacterium. RNAcentral's name for it is "partial 16S ribosomal RNA". It matches the Rfam family "Bacterial small subunit ribosomal RNA", at positions 524 to 776 of the family's 1533-position model. The record is from RNAcentral.
UACGUAGGGGGCAAGCGUUGUCCGGAAUCAUUGGGCGUAAAGCGCGCGUAGGCGGCCCGAUAAGUCCGCUGUAAAAGUCCAGGGCUCAACCCUGGAAUGCCGGUGGAUACUGUCGGGCUAGAGUCCGGAAGAGGCGAGUGGAAUUCCUGGUGUAGCGGUGAAAUGCGCAGAUAUCAGGAGGAACACCGGUGGCGAAGGCGGGUCUCUGGGCAUCUCCUGACGCUGAGGCGCGAAAGCGUGGGGAGCAAACGGG